UACGUAGGCAGCGAGCGUUGUUCGGAAUUACUGGGCGUAAAGAGUGUGUAGGCGGUGUUCCCAGUCUGUUGUGAAAUCUCCCGGCUUAACUGGGAGGGUGCAGCGGAAACUAGAGUGCUAGAGGGUGGGAGAGGUAAGCGGAAUUCCUGGUGUAGCGGUGAAAUGCGUAGAUAUCAGGAGGAACACCUGUGGUGUAGACAGCUUACUGGACCACUUCUGACGCUGAGACACGAAAGCGUGGGUAGCAAACAGG
RNAcentral lists this ribosomal RNA (253 nucleotides) under uncultured bacterium. Its description in RNAcentral is "partial 16S ribosomal RNA". It matches the Rfam family "Bacterial small subunit ribosomal RNA", at positions 524 to 776 of the family's 1533-position model. The record is from RNAcentral.